GAUGAACGCUGGCGGCGUGCCUAAUACAUGCAAGUCGAGCGAACAGACGAGGAGCUUGCUCCUUCGACGUUAGCGGCGGACGGGUGAGUAACACGUAGGUAACCUACCUAUAAGACUGGGAUAACUUCGGGAAACCGGAGCUAAUACCGGAUAAUAUUUCGAACCGCAUGGUUCGAUAGUGAAAGAUGGCUUUGCUAUCACUUAUAGAUGGACCUGCGCCGUAUUAGCUAGUUGGUAAGGUAACGGCUUACCAAGGCAACGAUACGUAGCCGACCUGAGAGGGUGAUCGGCCACACUGGAACUGAGACACGGUCCAGACUCCGACGGGAGGCAGCAGUAGGGAAUCUUCCGCAAUGGGCGAAAGCCUGACGGAGCAACGCCGCGUGAGUGAUGAAGGUCUUCGGAUCGUAAAACUCUGUUAUUAGGGAAGAACAAACGUGUAAGUAACUGUGCACGUCUUGACGGUACCUAAUCAGAAAGCCACGGCGAACUACGU
RNAcentral lists this ribosomal RNA (496 nucleotides) under uncultured bacterium. Its description in RNAcentral is "partial 16S ribosomal RNA". It matches the Rfam family "Bacterial small subunit ribosomal RNA", at positions 28 to 506 of the family's 1533-position model. The record is from RNAcentral.